RNAcentral lists this ribosomal RNA (736 nucleotides) under uncultured Bacteroidota bacterium. Its description in RNAcentral is "bacterial SSU rRNA". It matches the Rfam family "Bacterial small subunit ribosomal RNA", at positions 91 to 825 of the family's 1533-position model. The record is from RNAcentral. Lineage: Bacteria; Pseudomonadati; Bacteroidota.
GAGACCGGCGCACGGGUGCGUAACGCGUAUGCAAUCUACCUUUUACAGAGGGAUAGCCCAGAGAAAUUUGGAUUAAUACCUCAUAGUAUGUGAGAAUCGCAUGGUUUUCACAUUAAAGUUCCAACGGUAAAAGAUGAGCAUGCGUCCCAUUAGCUAGAUGGUAAGGUAACGGCUUACCAUGGCGACGAUGGGUAGGGGUCCUGAGAGGGAGAUCCCCCACACUGGUACUGAGACACGGACCAGACUCCUACGGGAGGCAGCAGUGAGGAAUAUUGGACAAUGGGCGCAAGCCUGAUCCAGCCAUGCCGCGUGCAGGAUGACGGUCCUAUGGAUUGUAAACUGCUUUUGUACAGGAAGAAACACUCCCUCGUGAGGGAGCUUGACGGUACUGUAAGAAUAAGGAUCGGCUAACUCCGUGCCAGCAGCCGCGGUAAUACGGAGGAUCCAAGCGUUAUCCGGAAUCAUUGGGUUUAAAGGGUCCGUAGGCGGUUUAAUAAGUCAGUGGUGAAAGCCCAUCGCUCAACGGUGGAACGGCCAUUGAUACUGUUAAACUUGAAUUAUUAGGAAGUAACUAGAAUAUGUAGUGUAGCGGUGAAAUGCUUAGAGAUUACAUGGAAUACCAAUUGCGAAGGCAGGUUACUACUAAUGGAUUGACGCUGAUGGACGAAAGCGUGGGUAGCGAACAGGAUUAGAUACCCUGGUAGUCCACGCCGUAAACGAUGGAUACUAGCUGUUG